Molecule: long non-coding RNA, 390 nt
Filed under: Olea europaea (common olive)
Lineage: Eukaryota; Viridiplantae; Streptophyta; Magnoliopsida; Lamiales; Oleaceae
Description: long non-coding RNA (OEUR_LNC004886)
Source: RNAcentral
CUUGUUGUAUCUUUACUUGAAGUAUUCGAUAGAAUGCUUAUUCUUUUCGUUGUUAUCAUUGGUUUCCACCACAUUAGCAUUUGCUUGUGGUAUAUGACUUCCAUUUCACUUAUCUGACUUUUUGUUGUCUUUUUCAAUUCUCAAUCGAAUGAUGAGUACUUCAAUAUUUAUCUCCUUGCACUUGUGCUUGAAACAAUUUAUAAAGUCUUUUCACAUGAGUGGAAGUUUCUUGAUGAUUGUAGCUACUCGAAAGGAUUCACUUGGAGAUAUGUUCUUAACGUGAUUGCCAUGGAGAAGAACCUACAACUCUUGUACUUGACUAAUAACUGUCUUGGAAUCUAUCAUCUUGUAAUCUAAGAACUUUCGAAGAUGAACUUCUUUGUUUCGACA